Molecule: microRNA precursor, 86 nt
Filed under: Puccinia sorghi
Lineage: Eukaryota; Fungi; Basidiomycota; Pucciniomycetes; Pucciniales; Pucciniaceae
Description: mir-275
Source: RNAcentral
CGGUCGCGAUAGUAGCGCGCGCUACUAUCGCGUCCGCAAAACACGUCGUUUCGCGGACGCGAUAGUAGCGCGCGCUACUAUCGCGC